Long non-coding RNA from Macrosteles quadrilineatus (aster leafhopper), 379 nucleotides. RefSeq lists it as uncharacterized. Lineage: Eukaryota; Metazoa; Arthropoda; Insecta; Hemiptera; Cicadellidae. The transcript has 3 exons. The record is from RefSeq and is a predicted model, not a curated record.
UGCAGAGAGUGUAUGACAUAGAAGUAUCAUUAUCAUUAGUACUCUUUAUUUUUGUCAUAGUUUGCAGUUUACUUUGCACCAGGGGGUUUGAAUUCCCACCUCUCAUGGGUAAAUACACACUCAAAUGCAACCUGAUUUGUAACUGUGUUGGUGGAGGAAGUGGUUACAAGAUACAACUCAGUAACAGCACACUUCCUUCUGACUGUGGAGCAAUACACCUAGGUAGAGUUCUGGCUAAUAACACGAUGGUAUCGUACUCAUGGUAUGUGUGGAUUGAUGAAAAAUGGAAUGAGAUAAUGAGAGAUAACUUGGCACAAGGCUGUGAGACAAUGUUGAAGUCUGUUCCUGAAAUGUUCACUCUGCUCAAUGUACCUACCAG